AUUGAACGCUGGCGGCAUGCCUAACACAUGCAAGUCGAACGGCAGCACGGUCGUAGCAAUACGAUGGGUGGCGAGUGGCGGACGGGUGAGGAAUACAUAGGAAUCUGCCCUGUUGUGGGGGAUAACGUAGGGAAACUUACGCUAAUACCGCAUACGACGGCGACGUGAAAGUGGGGGACCGCAAGGCCUCACGCGAUAGGAUGAGCCUAUGUCGGAUUAGCUAGUUGGCGGGGUAAGGGCCCACCAAGGCGACGAUCCGUAGCUGGUCUGAGAGGAUGAUCUGCCACACUGGAACUGAGACACGGUCCAGACUCCUACGGGAGGCAGCAGUGGGGAAUAUUGGACAAUGGGGGCAACCCUGAUCCAGCAAUGCCGCGUGGGUGAAGAAGGCCUUCGGGUUGUAAAGCCCUUUUGUACGGGAAGAAAAGCUUCGGAUUAAUACUUCGAGGUCAUGACGGUACCGUAAGAAUAAGCACCGGCUAACUACGUGCCAGCCGCCGCCGUAA
RNAcentral lists this ribosomal RNA (506 nucleotides) under uncultured bacterium. RNAcentral's name for it is "partial 16S ribosomal RNA". It matches the Rfam family "Bacterial small subunit ribosomal RNA", at positions 30 to 523 of the family's 1533-position model. The record is from RNAcentral.